AUUAACAUAGUUUAAAAGAACAGCAGCCUUUCUCGUUGCAAGUCCCAAAAAUUUGGGUGUUAGUU
Molecule: transfer RNA, 65 nt
Filed under: Ophiopholis aculeata (daisy brittle star)
Lineage: Eukaryota; Metazoa; Echinodermata; Ophiuroidea; Amphilepidida; Ophiactidae
Description: tRNA-Glu
Source: RNAcentral